Molecule: long non-coding RNA, 616 nt
Organism: Diorhabda carinulata
Lineage: Eukaryota; Metazoa; Arthropoda; Insecta; Coleoptera; Chrysomelidae
Exons: 3
Source: RefSeq, a predicted model, not a curated record
GUCCUUUAGUGAUAUACACAAAAUAUAAUCUUUUGUUUUUUUAUAUUAGAACAUUGAAUGGUUAGGUUCUAUAAUCAACUCUAAUGAAAUCAUGUUCUUAUUUUGAAAAGUGUCUGAUAUAUCUUAAAAUCGUAUAAGACUCGAAAAUAAAUUGCUCGUAUACAAAGAUAAUUUUGUCGUAAAGAAUUUAACUAUGGGGCUGCAGUAAGCCAUCAAAUACGAAGAUUCUCCAAACAUUUCAAUCCAAAACACUCCGUAUGUUAAGUAGAGCCCCAGAAUGGUCGUCGCACGGCUAUCCACUUAGGAACGUGGAGCACCUACUCCAUGUUCAGAAUUAGUUAAAGGCUCAAUAUUUUACAAUGUAACAAAAUGCACAAUCACUUGCCAAUUGAAAUAAAAUCUAUAUCAUCCUUUCCCGUAUUCCAUAAUAAUUUGAGGGCAUAUUUACUGGAAAGUGCCUUCUACACUGUAAACGACUUUUAUUCUAAUAAUAAUAUUUAAUUCACGACAUGCUGCAUACUGGUUUAAUUUUAGAAUGUUUUAUUUUGUUUGUAUCUUUAUUUAGUUGUUUUUAUGUUUGUUUUUUUAGUUUUUAUACAUUUGUCUCUAAAUUGUA